RNAcentral lists this ribosomal RNA (253 nucleotides) under uncultured bacterium. RNAcentral's name for it is "partial 16S ribosomal RNA". It matches the Rfam family "Bacterial small subunit ribosomal RNA", at positions 524 to 776 of the family's 1533-position model. The record is from RNAcentral.
UACGUAGGAUCCGAGCGUUGUCCGGAUUUACUGGGUGUAAAGGGUGCGUAGGCGGCCAACUAAGUCAGACGUGAAAUCCCUCGGCUUAACCGGGGAACUGCGUCUGAUACUGGAUGGCUUGAAUCCGGGAGAGGGAUGCGGAAUUCCAGGUGUAGCGGUGAAAUGCGUAGAUAUCUGGAGGAACACCGGUGGCGAAGGCGGCAUCCUGGACCGGCAUUGACGCUGAGGAGCGAAAGCCAGGGGAGCAAACGGG